CGCUGGCGGCAGGCUUAACACAUGCAAGUUGAGCGGGAUUGUUUGGUAGCUUGCUAUCAAGCAUGAGAGCAGCGCACUGGUGAGUAACACGUGGGAACAUACCUUUUGGUGGGGGACAACAGUUGGAAACGACUGCUAAUACCGCAUAAGCCCUAAGGGGGAAAGAUUCAUUGCCGAAAGAUUGGCCCGCGGAAGAUUAGGUAGUAGGUGGGGUAACGGCCUACCUAGCCGACGAUCUAUAGCUGGUCUGAGAGGACGAUCAGCCACAUUGGAACUGAGACACGGUCCAGACUCCUACGGGAGGCAGCAGUGAGGAAUAUUGGGCAAUGGAGGCAACUCUGACCCAGCCAUGCCGCGUGAGUAAAGAAGGUUUUCGGAUUGUAAAGCUCUUUCAGACGGGAAGAUGAUGACGGUACCGUCAGAAGAAGCACCGGCUAACUUCGUGCCAGCCGCCGC
Molecule: ribosomal RNA, 456 nt
Filed under: uncultured bacterium
Lineage: Bacteria
Description: bacterial SSU rRNA
Rfam family: Bacterial small subunit ribosomal RNA
Source: RNAcentral